This 521-nucleotide long non-coding RNA is filed under the name Olea europaea (common olive). RNAcentral describes it as "long non-coding RNA (OEUR_LNC000935)". Lineage: Eukaryota; Viridiplantae; Streptophyta; Magnoliopsida; Lamiales; Oleaceae. The record is from RNAcentral.
CAAAUUUCAUCAGAAAAAUACCUAAAGAACAAAGUAUACAUUGCAAUUUGUAAAGUAAAAUUCAAAUAGCAGACAGCAGAAUCAAAAAUUCAAGAGAAAUAUUGAAAAAAUCACCGUUGCUAGAGGAAGAUUACAAUCAAGAAACAACAAUUUUGGAUAAACAGAUAAAUUAGAAGGAGGUGAGCUGAAAUUAAAGCGUUCACAACAAUCAGAUCGAGUACGAGUUCAGCAUAUAACGCCUGUUUUUAAACUAAUAAAAAUCCGAUACUACCUUUCAACUUUGUUGACGAAGAAGUUGAAUAGGAAUCACUGCUCCACAAGUUAAAUUGCCUCUCCCCCAAUUUUUAGCGUAUAACGAGGAAGAAAACCUCAGUCGCUGGCCUCCUUUGCUCUACGAAUAAGACAAACAGAAAUGGGUUAGUCACUUAGUUGGAUUCGCAUGCCUUUUAAUUGGACUUUUUGAGAAUUUUUUUUCUCAUUCUAAUCCAUUUUCCAGAUGGGCCUCAAUGGAAUAAGUCUCU